CGUUUAUAGCUAAUAAUUAUAGAUAGGUUCUGCCCACUGAUGGAAAUUGAAGGGCUGCAGUAUACUGACUGUGCUAAGGUAGCAUAAUCAUUUGUUUUUUAAUUGAAGACUGGAAUGAAAGAAUUGACAAAAUUUUAAUUGUCUCAAUUAAAAUUAUUGAAUUUGAAUUUUAGGUAAAAAUGCUUAAAUAUAUUUAAAAGACGAGAAGACCCUAUAGAAUUUAAUAUAAUUAUUUAGAUUUUGAAAUUUUUAUAAUACUCAUUAUUUGGAUAGGUAUAUUUUGUUGGGAGGACAGUUUAAUUUAAUAAACUUAAACUUACUGAAACAUAAAUUAAUGAAUAUUUGAUUAUUAUUAUAAUUGUAAGAAAAAAUUACCUUAGGGAUAACAGCGUAAUAUUUUUGGAGAGAUCAUAUUGAUAAAAAUGAUUGCGACCUCGAUGUUGAAUUAAGAUAUAAUUUAAUUGCAGAAGGUUAAAUUGUUAGUCUGUUCGACUAUUAAAAUCUUACA
RNAcentral lists this ribosomal RNA (508 nucleotides) under Ceramius micheneri. RNAcentral describes it as "partial 16S ribosomal RNA". It matches the Rfam family "Bacterial large subunit ribosomal RNA", at positions 1827 to 2600 of the family's 2925-position model. Lineage: Eukaryota; Metazoa; Arthropoda; Insecta; Hymenoptera; Vespidae. The record is from RNAcentral.